Molecule: unclassified non-coding RNA, 344 nt
Filed under: soil metagenome
Description: partial contains 5.8S ribosomal RNA, internal transcribed spacer 2, and large subunit ribosomal RNA
Rfam family: 5.8S ribosomal RNA (bases 1-120)
Source: RNAcentral
GAUGAAGAACGCAGUGAAAUGCGAUACGUAAUGUGAAUUGCAGAAUUCAGUGAAUCAUCGAGUCUUUGAACGCACAUUGCGCCCCCUGGUAUUCCGGGGGGCAUGCCUGUCCGAGCGUCAUUGCUGCCCUCAAGCACGGCUUGUGUGUUGGGCCUCCGUCCUCCUCCCGGGGGACGGGCCCGAAAGGCAGCGGCGGCACCGCGUCCGGUCCUCGAGCGUAUGGGGCUUCGUCACCCGCUCUUGUAGGCCCGGUCGGCGCUUGCCGACACAUCAAUCUUUUUUCCAGGUUGACCUCGGAUCAGGUAGGGAUACCCGCUGAACUUAAGCAUAUCAAUAGCGGAGGA